This 883-nucleotide ribosomal RNA is filed under the name uncultured Pseudomonadota bacterium. Its description in RNAcentral is "bacterial SSU rRNA". It matches the Rfam family "Bacterial small subunit ribosomal RNA", at positions 1 to 893 of the family's 1533-position model. Lineage: Bacteria; Pseudomonadati; Pseudomonadota. The record is from RNAcentral.
UAGAGUUUGAUCCUGGCUCAGGAUGAACGCUAGCAACGUGGAUAAGGCAUGCAAGUCAAGCGGUCCACCUUCGGGUGGGCAGCGGCAAACGGGUUAGUAACACGUGGAUAACGUGCCCCGAAGACGGGUAUAACCUAUCGAAAGAUAGGACAAUUCCCGAUAGUCCGGACAUACUUCGGUAUUGUCCGGUAAACGGAAGCUUUGCAACCGCUUUGGGAUCGGUCCGCGGCCUAUCAGCUUGUAGGUGAGGUAAUGGCCCACCUAGGCUAUGACGGGUAGGGGGCGUGAGAGCGCGACCCCCAACAGAGGUACUGAGACACGGACCUCACUCCUACGGGAGGCAGCAGUCGAGAAUCUUCGGCAAUGGGCGAAAGCCUGACCGAGUGACGUUGCGUGGUCGAAGAAGCCCUACGGGGUGUAAAGACCUUUUGCGUGAGAAGAAGUCGUCUUUGACGAUUGACGUUAUCACGCGAAUAAGGAGGUGCUAAUCACGUGCCAGCAGCAGCGGUAAUACGUGAUCUCCAAGCGUUAUCCGGAUUCAUUGGGCGUAGAGCAUCCGUAGGCGGCCAAGUAAGUUUUUGGUUAAAGUUUAAGGGCUUAACCCUUAAAAUGCCAAGAAAACUGUUUGGCUAGAGGGCGCUAGAGGCUGACGGAACCGACGGUGGAGCGGUGAAAUGCGUUGAUAUCGUCGGGAACACCAAAAGCGAAGGCAGUCAGCUGGGGCGACCCUGACGCUGAGGGAUGAAAGCGUGGGGAUCAAAGACGAUUAGAUACCGUCGUAGUCCACGCCGUAAACGAUGGACACUAGCUAUUGGCAGUGUCGACCCUGUCAGUGGCGAAGCUAACGCGUUAAGUGUCCCGCCUGGGAACUACGGCUGCAAGG